GACGAACGCUGGCGGCGUGCCUAAUACAUGCAAGUUGAGCGCUGAAGGUUGGUACUUGUACCAACUGGAUGAGCAGCGAACGGGUGAGUAACGCGUGGGGAAUCUGCCUUUGAGCGGGGGACAACAUUUGGAAACGAAUGCUAAUACCGCAUAAAAACUUUAAACACAAGUUUUAAGUUUGAAAGAUGCAAUUGCAUCACUCAAAGAUGAUCCCGCGUUGUAUUAGCUAGUUGGUGAGGUAAAGGCUCACCAAGGCGAUGAUACAUAGCCGACCUGAGAGGGUGAUCGGCCACAUUGGGACUGAGACACGGCCCAAACUCCUACGGGAGGCAGCAGUAGGGAAUCCUCGGCAAUGGACGAAAGUCUGACCGAGCAACGCCGCGUGAGUGAAGAAGGUUUUCGGAUCGUAAAACUCUGUUGGUAGAGAAGAACGUUGGUGAGAGUGGAAAGCUCAUAAAGUGACGGUAACUACCCAGAAAGGGACGGCUAACUACGUG
RNAcentral lists this ribosomal RNA (497 nucleotides) under uncultured bacterium. RNAcentral's name for it is "partial 16S ribosomal RNA". It matches the Rfam family "Bacterial small subunit ribosomal RNA", at positions 28 to 507 of the family's 1533-position model. The record is from RNAcentral.